RNAcentral lists this transfer RNA (74 nucleotides) under Trichonephila clavata. It matches the Rfam family "tRNA". From Rfam's summary of the family: Transfer RNA (tRNA) molecules are approximately 80 nucleotides in length. Their secondary structure includes four short double-helical elements and three loops (D, anti-codon, and T loops). Lineage: Eukaryota; Metazoa; Arthropoda; Arachnida; Araneae; Nephilidae. The record is from Rfam by way of RNAcentral.
GGCCCGUUAGCUCAGUUGGUUAGAGCGUCGUGCUAAUAACGCGAAGGUCGCGGGCUCGAUCCCCUCACGGGACA